ACGUAGGGUGCGAGCGUUAAUCGGAAUUACUGGGCGUAAAGCGUGCGCAGGCGGUUCUCUACUCCCUUUUUUCCCUCCCCUUUCUUCCCCUUUUCCUUUCUCUUGUGACUUGCGGGCUGGAGUACGGCAGAGGGGGGUGGAAUUCCACGUGUAGCAGUGAAAUGCGUAGAGAUGUGGAGGAACACCGAUGGCGAAGGCAGCCCCCUGGGCCGAUACUGACGCUCAUGCACGAAAGCGUGGGGAGCAAACAG
RNAcentral lists this ribosomal RNA (251 nucleotides) under uncultured prokaryote. RNAcentral describes it as "partial 16S ribosomal RNA". It matches the Rfam family "Bacterial small subunit ribosomal RNA", at positions 525 to 775 of the family's 1533-position model. The record is from RNAcentral.